RNAcentral lists this long non-coding RNA (936 nucleotides) under Marmota monax (woodchuck). Lineage: Eukaryota; Metazoa; Chordata; Mammalia; Rodentia; Sciuridae. The record is from RNAcentral.
CACAGGCAUCCUCUCACUGUGACCUGAACUUUUCUUGUACUGUGAAUUCAGGAUCCAAGGACUGCAGAGGCUCUAAAAAUGAACUUUGCCCCAGGACCAGUGAUUGUACUAGUCUUAAUGUUUGGUAAGGAAACUGGCACUUAGAGCUUAGAGCCUUUGGUUCUACUAUGCUGAUGCAUAAUUUUCUCUAAAAGGAGAUCAUAACUAAGGCAAACUGCACUAAGUUGUUAUUUUCUUCUUAGGAGGAAGCAAUGGAGACUCAGUGAUCCAGACAGAAGAACAAAUGACCCUCUCUGAAGGGACUUCCCUGACUGUGAACUGUUCCUAUGAAAGCUCACAGUACCCAGCCCUAUUCUGGUAUGUUCAAUACCCUGGAGAAGGUCCACAGCUCCUCUUGAAAGCCUUGAAGGCCAAUGAUAAGGGAAGCGAGAAAGGUUUUGAAGCCACAUACAAGAAAGAAACCACCUCCUUCCACCUGGAGAAAGCCUCUGUCCAAGAGUCCGACUCGGCUGUGUACUACUGUGCUCUGAGUGACACAGUGGCAGAAACUGCAGGGGGAGCUGAGCACAAACUCUGAGCAGUACCCAGGGGCCUGGCUGCUGAGCAUUUGCCUCUGGAAUCACUUUGGUUUAAGGACCAGGAACUAGUCUACCAUUGUAGCCACCUACCAGGCACUGCUAUCAAAGGACAAACCAACCCUAAGGACCCAGCAGGAGAACAUGAAGUAAGUUUGCCUCACAUAGGAUUCUUCAGAGGUUAGAGUGGAAACUGUCACCAUUUUUCCUCACCUACUCUUGAAACUUAUGAUUUUAAAAGCAUAAAACCUCAAGGGGAAUGAAAUGAUCUAUAUGUUCAUCAUUGCAUGUAAUUUUAUCCCCUCACCUUGUCUCAGGUCAUGGAGGAAAACAUUGUGUAGAAACACAGCUGUGGCUUCUG